Long non-coding RNA from Trifolium pratense (red clover), 748 nucleotides. RefSeq lists it as uncharacterized. NCBI's taxonomy places the organism in Eukaryota, Viridiplantae, Streptophyta, Magnoliopsida, Fabales, Fabaceae. The transcript is spliced from 6 exons. The record is from RefSeq and is a predicted model, not a curated record.
UGAACUGAACGAAUUUCUUAUUUAUAUAUAGAAAUUCACGUGACAGUGUGUCAUGCUAGAUGAAGGGACUAAAAAACAUGUGCGCAGUGCUAUCACAAGUGGAAAUGGACUCUUUGUUCUAUUGAGACUGUAAAAACCACACCAAAUAUUGUGUGCAGUUGUCGGACCCAAAGAGGACAAACUACCAAGCUUGAUGAAGAAUUCAUUUUUGGUCUACCAUUGAAUCUGGAUGUUGUGGGGUGCAACUUAAGGGUCCAGCUAUAGACACAGUCCUUGCAUUAAUGUAAUAUUUUCUUCAAAUUGGACAAGUGAUUGACCAAAUGCACAGUUUCAAAGGCUUUGAAAUAUUUCAUAUUAUUGGGCCUUUGCUUAGCAACACAAUCAGUGUGAUAUGUUUUUGUUCUAUAAAAAACAAGUAAUGGCAACAAACCAUUCGUUCCUCAAUCCAUCGUCAGCGGCAUCACUCCUUCAACCUACACAGUAACUUGAACAUGAUCGAAGGAAUGUGCAGCUUCAGCCUAUCCUUGGGAAAUAAACCUAAAUUGAAAGAGCAUAUGCAAUAAUGUGUUGGUCAUGCUGAGGAGAUUAAAAAGCUUGCUAAAGUUCACACUCAGGUUUUUGAACAUCUCUGUCUUCAAGUCAUUAAUUUUUCAAGUUUCAUGGUCCUCGCCCUGUCAGACGGUACAAACGAGGGACAAUCUUUUUGUUUUCAUUUUGCUUUUACUGCAACUUUUUUGCUUGCUUCUUG